RNAcentral lists this ribosomal RNA (446 nucleotides) under uncultured bacterium. Its description in RNAcentral is "bacterial SSU rRNA". It matches the Rfam family "Bacterial small subunit ribosomal RNA", at positions 331 to 794 of the family's 1533-position model. The record is from RNAcentral.
ACAGACUCCUACGGGAGGCAGCAGUGGGGACUCUUGCACAAUGGUUUCCCCCCUGAUGCCGCACCGCCGCGUGCGUGCAGAAGUAUUUCGCUCUGUAAAGCUCUAUCAGCAGGGAAGCAGAUGACGGUCCCUGAGUAAGAAGCCCCGGCUAACUACGUGCCAGCAGCCGCGGUAAUACGUAGGGGGCAAGCGUUAUCCGGAUUUACUGGGGGUAAAGGGAGCGUAGACGGCAUAGCAAGUCUGAAGUGAAAGCCCAGGGCUCAACCAUGGGACUGCUUUGGAAACUGUUAAGCUAGAGUGCGGGAGAGGUAAGCGGAAUUCCUAGUGGAGCGGUGAAAUGCGGAGAGAUUAGGAAGAACACCAGUGGCGAAGGCGGCUUACUGGACAGGAACUGACGGGGAGGCUCGAAAGCGGGGGGAGCAAACAGGAGGAGAUACCCCUGUAGU